CAACUAUCUUAGCAACCUUUUCCACACCUUGCAGUGUUACAACCGGAGGCUUAGCAUCACCAAGCUCACCAACAGAGAGGUUCCUCAUCCACGGCUCCGGAUUCGCUUCCAAGAAAGGUAACCCCUUAAGAUGCAGUAUGAUAUCAUAGAUACUUGGGUUAAAGCUGUCUCCCACAGUUUUAGCAAUCAGAAGCACUAUCAUCGUAAUGGGAAGCAAAAGAAGGUUGUUGGUGAGUUCAAGAAAUAUAACACAGAGUGACACAGUCAUUCUCAUGGAUCCAGCCAUGAGUGAAGCUGCACCAAGGACAGCGUAAAGCCCUUGGUCAAUGCUAGUGUAUGAUCCCAUCAACCCACCAAGCAUUCUUCCAUACGCAGAACCCAUGAGGAUGAUAGGGAGGAAGAGACCAGACGGAGUUGCGAUACCAAACGUGAAAAGCCCCAAGAUGCAGUAGAGCACAAAGAAUAUCCAAAGGGAGCCCAUGCUGAACUCAUUAGGAGUGUUGGAAGAGAAGAUGUUCCUGACAGCAUCAUCGUUGGUGGUGAGAAGCAGAGUAGCUAGAUCACUGUAGUAGCCUUUUGGGCAAUGGAACUGUUUGAAGUUCCCUGAUCUACCAUUCGUUGGGCAUCUCUCUUCUAUGGAGGGGUCACAAGGUGUGCAUUUGGCCAAGAAAGGAAGACCGUAGAGACAAACCGAUGUGAAGAGAGAUACAGUAAGAGCAAGAAGCACCUUAUGGAUCUUACCCUUCCUGCAAAAAGACCAAACAAAGGUAAGUAAUUAAGCACCUAGUAGAGUUUGCACUAUGUUUCAAGCAUUUCAAAACUUAACUGGUUGAUGAGAUUGUAAAGCCGGAGAACUUUAUGGAGAAAGUGAUUGUAGAGACUCCCAAGAACUCCACCGAUGACACCAAUCAACAUGACAGGGAUUAUAUCAGUCGCAUGGUAAGUAUAAGUAACGUGACUCACAUCAAACAUGAUAAGCCCUCCUCUUCCAAACAAUCCACACUUGCCUGAGUUGCAUAUCUCUAUGAACUCCCUUAGAACAACCACAACAACCGCUGUGCUGAAGAAAGUCCGCCACAACAGGGCGCUUCUCCACCAAGUGGCAACUUCCUCGAGCGCGAAAAGCACGCCUCCCACAGGUGACCUGAAGGCUGCACAGACUCCAGCUGCUGAGCCGCACGUUAUAAGAUCCCUUCGGUCUCUAUCGUUGUUGAAGUAACGAAGCCACCGCCACUUUAACCGGUGGUUGUCUGGUCCGCCUUGCCCGAGCAAUGAAGCUAUGCAGGUUCCUAUGUGAACUAGAGGACCUUCUUUGCCUAGAUCAAGUCCAGCUGCAACCGCUCCAAUGCUUCCAAUGAUCUAUCAAACCCCGCAAAUAGUGUGUUAAUAAUCAAACUUUUUUUUUCAGUUCCAGGAGCUCCUUAAUCCCCUCGGGCCGAAACCACAUCAUAUAAUGUUGGUUUCAUUCCAUCGGUCAUUCGAACUGGGGACCUCUGACACAAUUGCCAAGGUCCUUUGGUCUUAAUAAUCAAACUUAACACAUGAGUCUCCUUAAAAAGUUUAGAAACAGACCUUAACGAUCAUAGUGGUAGCACCAAACAUGUUGGGAGUGUCGAUGCCAUUAAGAUAAGCUUUGAUCUCAGGAAUGCCAGGACCAGCAGCCGUAGGAGCAAAUACAACAACAAGUACUGUCCCCACCAGAGUCAGACCCAAAUUCGCACCAGUAAAAACCAACAGACCUGUCACAUAUCUAUUUCAACAGAAACGUAUCAUACAAGUUAACUCCAUUUCUUAGUUAUGAACGUUUUUUUUUUGGUCAAGAUUUUGAUGAUGAGUCAAUACCUGUCUUGACCGAUAUAGUGGCCGACGGCCAGGAGUUUGUAACCCGCGAUGUUUUCGACGGCGAGGUUGAUGAGAGUAGCUAUGAGACCAGUUAAGAGACCAACAAGAAAAGCUAAUGUCCAUUUUGCGAAUAUGUAUUGCAACACUUGUGUCUUUGAUCUGCUUCUCCAGUCAUGCUUGAACAGAUCAUUCUCGUUUAUUCUGCAGUAAUCACAAAUUUUAAUUUAAUUUUUCUUACAAAAUUAUUACAAUAGUUCAUGUCUCCAUCACUGAAUACUUUCCUUCGAGUUAUUUAUGAAAUUAAAGAUUAUCUGAAAACAGAGUAAAGAUCAAAACUUUAUGAGACCAAGACUAAUCAUGCUACUAUGCAAAAGGUGACCCAAGUUCUUGACAUCGAUUCUUUUUUAAGAUUUGGCUAUUGAUUGUUUGCGGAAAAUUGAAGAAGUGAGAGACUUGAAGUAUUACAACAGUUCAUAUGUCUGCAUCACUGCUAUAUUCAUCCAAUUUUUAUUUAUUUUAUAUAAAUGACGAUAAUCUGAAAACAAGAGAGUAAGACUAGUAAGAUCUAUAGAGAGACUGAGAUCAAGAAUCUAAAUCUGUUAGGUAAAGAAGACAUACUCAUAGUCUAAGCUCUCGAUGUGUGAAACAUAUGUUCCUUUUUAAACAGGAGAUAUGGUUCCUCACUCACUGUGAUUUUACAAGUAUUAAAAGAGAUCUGUGCAAUAUUUUUAACUUAUGAGUCUUCUGUUUGGUAUGAAGAAAAAAGUGCAAAACUGGACAGAAACAUCUUCAAGAAUGGGAAGACAACAACAUAGCUGCAGAGCCAUUUUUACAGACAACAGGUAAAACAAAUUGAGUAGCGAUUCAGUGUGCUUUUCUACCUUUGGAUUUUUCCAAGUGAGGAAAAGCUUGUAGAAUGUUGUAUGCCCUUAGAUCCUGCCUGGUUAAGAUCCCAAUGACAGGAGAUCUCUGCAAACGAUUUACAAUUUAGUUAGUUUCAUUAAUUGUUAAUAGGUUUUAUAGUGAAAGUAAAAUAGAAUGAAAGAAGGCAUAUAGACUCACUCCUGAGGCUUGAAUCCUGGGAACAAUAAGCAAAUGUCGGAGUCCCACUUGCCGGAACAGCACCAAAGCCUUGGCCACAGACAUGUUCUCCAUAACAGUGUAAGGUGUUGUGUUAGUGAGAGGAUGAAGAUCAACAUACAUUUGCAUCUCAGAGCUUGUGAUUGCCACAUCGUCAAAGUUGUCUUCUCUCUCAGCCAGUUCAUCCCAUGGAAACUUCUCCCUGACCUCCCACUCCUCUGUUCUUCUCUUCUCUGUCAAGAACCAUCUCUUUUUCAGAACUUUAACCAGGUGGGCUCUCAGGAUCAACCCAUGAAGCUCUAUAGCCCCAGUUCCUAGACCCAUUUGAGGAGGUACUUCUGCUUCAUCUAAAACAGGGAAUGCAUUAUGCGUCGUGUUCCUUAGCACAUCAACUAUCUUAGCAACCUUUUCCACACCUUGCAGUGUUACAACCGGAGGCUUAGCAUCACCAAGCUCACCAACGGAGAGGUUCCUCAUCCACGGCUCCGGAUUCGCUUCCAAGAAAGGUAACCCCUUAAGAUGCAGUAUGAUAUCAUAGAUACUUGGGUUAAAGCUGUCUCCCACAGUUUUAGCAAUCAGAAGCACUAUCAUCGUAAUGGGAAGCAAAAGAAG
Molecule: long non-coding RNA, 3534 nt
Filed under: Brassica napus (rape)
Lineage: Eukaryota; Viridiplantae; Streptophyta; Magnoliopsida; Brassicales; Brassicaceae
Description: long non-coding RNA (BNAP_LNC005543)
Source: RNAcentral